RNAcentral lists this ribosomal RNA (327 nucleotides) under uncultured eukaryote. RNAcentral's name for it is "partial 18S ribosomal RNA". It matches the Rfam family "Eukaryotic small subunit ribosomal RNA", at positions 1470 to 1796 of the family's 1831-position model. The record is from RNAcentral.
CCCUUAGAUGUUCUGGGCCGCACACGCGCUACACUGAAGGAGGCAGCGUGUACUCCUGGAUCGAAAGAUUUGGGUAACCCGCGAAUCUCCUUCGUGCUAGGGAUUGAGGUUUGCAAUUAUCCUUCAUGAACGAGGAAUUCCCAGUAAGUGCAAGUCAUAAGCUUGCGCUGACUACGUCCCUGCCCUUUGUACACACCGCCCGUCGCUACUACCGAUUGAAUGAUUUAGUGAGGACUUCGGACUGGGACCGAUGCGGCUUUCGGGCUGCGUCGGUAUUCUGGAAAGAUGGCCAAACUGUAUCAUUUAGAGGAAGUAAAAGUCGUAACA